AGUCUGGUGCCAGCAGCCGCGGUAAUUCCAGCUCCAAUAGCGUAUAUGUAAGUUGUUGCGAUUAAAAAGCCCGUAGCUGAACCUCGGGCAACCCUGACGGUCCGCGUUUCGUGAGUACUGUCGUGGGUUGUCUUUCUGGCAAGACCGUAUCUCGGUGUUAACUCGCCGGGAACGGCGCUUGCCAAGGUUACUUUGAGUAAAAUAGAGUGUUCAAAGCAAGCUCGCGCUCUGAAUACACUAGCAUGGGAUAACACGACAUGACCGAUGGUCUAUCUUGUUGGCCUGUAGACCUGUUGGUAAUGGCUAAUAGGGACGGUCGGGGGCAUUCGUAUUUCGCUGUCAGAGGUGAAAUUCUUGGAUUUGCGAAAGACGAACUACUGCGAAAGCAUUUGCCAAGGACGCUUUCAUUAGUCAAGGACGAAAGUCGGGGGAUCGAAGACGAUUAGAUACCGUCGUAGUCUCGACCAUAAACGAUGCCAAUUAGGGAUUGGAGGGUGGAUCCAAUAUGCCUCCUCCAGCACCUUCCGCGAAAGCAAAAUUUAUGGGCUUCGGGGGGAGUAUGGUCGCAAGGCUGAAACUUAAAGGAAUUGACGGAACGGCACCACCAGGCGUGGAGCCUGCGGCUUAAUUUGACCCAACACGGGAAAACUUACCAGGUCCAGACAAGAUUAGGAUUUACAGAUUGAUAGCUCUUUAAAGAUUUUUUGGAUGGUGGUGCAUGGCCGUUCUUAGUUCGUGGAUUGAUUUGUCAGGUUGAUUCCGGUAACGGACGAGACCCCAACCUACUAACUAGCCCUGGUUGCUUCGCAGCCAGCAGUGCUUCUUAGAGGGACUCUCGGAAUGAAACCGAAGGAGGUGGGGCAAUAACAGGUCUGUGAUGCCCUUAGAUGUCCUGGGCCGCACGCGCGCUACACUGAUGCAUUCAACGAGCCUACCCUGUGCCGAGAGGUAUGGGUAAUCUGAGAAACUGCAUCGUGAUGGGGCUAGAUUAUUGCAAUUAUUGAUCUUCAACGAGGAAUGCCUAGUAAGCGCGAGUCAUCAACUCGCGUUGAUUACGUCCCUGCCGUUUGUACACACCGCCCGUCGCUCCUACCGAUUGGGUGUGCUGGUGAAAUGUUCGGAUUGGUAGCCUUUCCGUAAGGGAGGCUCCUGAGAAGUUCAUUGAACCCUCUCAUCUAGA
RNAcentral lists this ribosomal RNA (1180 nucleotides) under metagenome. RNAcentral's name for it is "SSU rRNA". It matches the Rfam family "Eukaryotic small subunit ribosomal RNA", at positions 558 to 1777 of the family's 1831-position model. The record is from RNAcentral.